AUGAUGUGGAUCUUGUGCUUUCUCUGUUCCCUGGCAGUGUGGCUGGGCUAUGGACAGUGUCAGACUCUGACUCAGCCUUCACACCUGACUGUGAAACCGGGAAACAAGGCCACACUGGACUGUAACAUUGGAACGGUUGAUAACUAUAACGUGUACUGGUACAAGCAGACACCAGGAUCAGCUCCUCAGUGGAUCCUCUAUUACUAUCACUCGCACAGUGCGCCUACCUAUGGGUCUGGGUUUAGCAGCGACCGUUUCACAUCGACAGCCAACAGCGGCCACAACAUUUACCAGUUAAUCAUCAAAAACGUGGAGGUGAAUGAUGCCGCCGUGUAUUACUGUGGAAAGUGGGUUAGCUCGGCCAGUGCUUGUGUGUUUGGGCAAGGGACCAAGCUCUUUGUUGCAGCUCAGCAACUCCCUGUCCCCUCUUCCUCUGGAAUCUGCUGCAUUUUGUGUUCCUGUUUUGCUCUGGUAAAACUUUGUGCUACCCGGACUUUUCAGGAAGUUUGA
This is a non-coding RNA of Chiloscyllium plagiosum (whitespotted bambooshark), 510 nucleotides long. The record is from the annotation of a RefSeq genome assembly. Lineage: Eukaryota; Metazoa; Chordata; Chondrichthyes; Orectolobiformes; Hemiscylliidae.